GCCUUGACUUAAUGUGAUUGGGUUUGUACCAUCUAUUUAUUAGUUGGGUUAUCUAAUUUAUGUGGAAGAGUUCCAUAUGAAUCCACCAUCUCCAUAUCAAAACCACACGAGAAAAGUAAAUGUGGCAUCAUUUAUUUGGGCAUUUAAGAGAGGAGUCCUUCUCUUCCACUCUUAAUUUUCUUACAUGAUUCUAUGCAUUUUUCUUAAUUCCUCAUGACAUAUGAUGGUGCUUGGGAUAUGGCACAUGGAAGAGGAGGAAGAGUCUUUCUCUUGAAAGAAAUUUGAGCAUCAAAUAAUAAAUGGGACAUUAUAUAUUUGCA
Molecule: long non-coding RNA, 320 nt
Filed under: Elaeis guineensis (African oil palm)
Lineage: Eukaryota; Viridiplantae; Streptophyta; Magnoliopsida; Arecales; Arecaceae
Description: long non-coding RNA (EGUI_LNC043784)
Source: RNAcentral